UACGAAGGGGGCUAGCGUUGCUCGGAAUCACUGGGCGUAAAGGGUGCGUAGGUGGGUCCUUAAGUCAGGGGUGAAAUCCUGGAGCUCAACUCCAGAACUGCCUUUGAUACUGAAGAUCUUGAGUUCGGGAGAGGUGAGUGGAACUGCGAGUGUAGAGGUGAAAUUCGUAGAUAUUCGCAAGAACACCAGUGGCGAAGGCGGCUCACUGGCCCGAUACUGACGCUGAGGCACGAAAGCGUGGGGAGCAAACAGG
Molecule: ribosomal RNA, 253 nt
Filed under: uncultured bacterium
Lineage: Bacteria
Description: partial 16S ribosomal RNA
Rfam family: Bacterial small subunit ribosomal RNA
Source: RNAcentral